Long non-coding RNA from Teleopsis dalmanni, 1392 nucleotides. RefSeq lists it as uncharacterized. The transcript is spliced from 5 exons. NCBI's taxonomy places the organism in Eukaryota, Metazoa, Arthropoda, Insecta, Diptera, Diopsidae. The record is from RefSeq and is a predicted model, not a curated record.
AAAUUGACAGCGAGGUUAAUUGUUGAUGUCUGUUUGGCGUAAGCAUCUGUGAGGCGUUUAGUUAACACAACCGGCAGUUUAGUGGAUAUUUGUGGAAUAUUUUUGUAAACAUCGUUGUUAUAAUAAAAGUUUUAUAAUAAAAAUAAAUUAAUACAAAUAAUUUAGCUGUGUUGUAAAGUUUAGUGUUCUUUUAUUGUGUCAAGAUUACAUUAAAAUACAACGAAACUGAGCUUUAUGCAAUAUUAGAAUUAAAUUAAAAUCAAAUGUCUUUUGAUAUUCUUAAAUAGUGAAGACAUUGUUAUUGUUAUCCAGAAAUGUGAUACUGUCUUAAAAACCUGCACUGAUUUAAAGUUAAAAAUUAUAAAGAAAAAUAACAGCGUUUCAUAAGAUUUUGGAAAUAUCUAUAUUGGAUUGGUCAUCCACAACUAAAAUAUUUUUUUAUCAUUAAUUGUGAUAUAUGCAGUUGGCAUUCAUCCAUGAACAUUACAGCAACGCAAGGCACAUACUGAAUAUAUGGAAAACAACAAAAUAGUUUGCUUUUAAGCAAAGGCUUUAAAUUAUAAAUUACAAUUUUGGAUUUUAUUUCGCGAAUUCAAACUCAAGGAAUCCUCAGAGUUUGGAUAUUCGAUCAUCAAUCAAAUUUUCGUUAUAUAGCGAUGCAUUUGGACAUUUGGACGCUGUAGAAUCAAUAUACUGGAAGUAUGACGAUUUCAAUGCCAGGACAUGUUAUUUAUAUAAAUAUUUUGAAAUGUCAGAAAUAAUGAAAUCUUAUGUAUUCCAAAUUACAUUAUAUUGGUAUUUAAAGAAUUGUAAAUUAAAAACGACAAACUUCCGAUAAAUAUACAUGUAUUAAAAUAAUAUAUAAAAACAAUAAUAAACUAUAAUAAACCUUAAUCACCCUAAGUAUGACGCUGUGAUCAAAUCUAUUGGAAUAAUCAGUCACAAAUUAAUGCAGCACGUGCUCUUAACAUAGAAAAGAAGUAAAGUAUUACUACACUAUAUUGUAAUUGUUUGCUGAUACAUUGUGGAAAUGUUUAACUUAAAUAUACAUUAAAUACUAUGUUGAGGUUGGAUUGACGAUCAAAACAUGUAAUGGAUUUUGUACUACGAAAUUGAAAUCACUUUCCAACGUAUCAUUCGUUGUUAUGUUGAAACAUAUUUUUUUAAUGAUCCUGUCCUAUUAUAUUGUCAACUACUGUCUCAAUGAAGUGUUAAAUUAUUGUGGACAUAAUAGUUUACUGGAACAAUACUUAAACGCAACGUAAAACAAAUAACAAUGGAACAACAUUAUCUUCAAAAAAAAUCAAAACGAAAGCAAGUCAUCCAAAGCUAAGUGCAUGUUUUUUAUACUUAUAUAUUUAUUUUUAAUGUGAUGGACUAUAUAAAAUUCAA